Small nucleolar RNA from Echinops telfairi (small Madagascar hedgehog), 120 nucleotides. Lineage: Eukaryota; Metazoa; Chordata; Mammalia; Afrosoricida; Tenrecidae. The record is from Ensembl.
ACCCUCCAGUUCCCUUUCCCAUUGGAUCAAAACACUGGGCUGGGUGGUCAUAGGAGGAGGAAAAGAAGCAUUGAAGCUGCCCCUUGGUGCUCCUCGAGCUCAGGCUCCUUUCAAACAGGG